Molecule: long non-coding RNA, 947 nt
Organism: Phyllostomus hastatus (greater spear-nosed bat)
Lineage: Eukaryota; Metazoa; Chordata; Mammalia; Chiroptera; Phyllostomidae
Exons: 3
Source: RefSeq, a predicted model, not a curated record
ACUGAUUCUCGCUAAUGGGGAAGGCGCAGGGAGUACAAGCCUGCUGAGGAGCGAGCAAGCAGCCAGGCACACACCUGCUGGCUUCCCAUGGAUGUCAAAAGCCCCGCCUUCGCAUCAGGGGGACCGUGAAAACUGACGGGACAUUUUUUCUUUGUUUUUGGAGAGAGAGAAACAUCAAUGUGAGAGAGAAACGUUGAUCGGUUGCCUCCUGUACAUGCCCAGGGCCGGGGAUUGUAUGCACCUGGACGAGGGAUCGAACCUGCAACCUAGUCUCUCAACGAUGCCUCCAAUGGCGGCACCCCACCAGGAGCCAGAGGGCAAGGACCUCGCUGAUGCUGAUGCAGCCCAGAGAGAGCCACCUCCCAGGACGCAGGACCAGGAGGGACUUGCAGGGAAAACCGGAGCCCUGGCUGUGGGGCAGGCAUGUGGGCACCUGUAGCCAAUCUUGCUGUUUUUCAAGAGAAUUUGGAGACCUGGCCUUUAUUUGCGCAAUCUUUGUACUUAUAAAAGUACAAAGUAACUUUUGUAAGUAAUGGGAGUAAUUUUCCAAACACGUGUGGGCCAAGCAACACAUGCUGGUAUGAAGUCUUCAGGCCUAAAAACAAGUGAAUACACAAAACGAAAGAGAAACAGACCCAUAGACAGAAAGAACAGGCUGAUGGUUGUGAAACACAAGAGGGAUGGGGGGUGGGGGUGAGUGGAAAAAAUACAUAAAUCAAUUUAUUUUUAAAUGUGCACAAAGCCUAAAAAUAUCUAUUUGGAUGGUUGAAGUUCUGUAGAAAUUUCAUUUUCCAUGGUUUUAAGCAACAUUCAACACCAGUAAUUUGUAGUAUAAAAUCAGCUUCACAUUUAGGUAUUCUAAAAUGAUUCACUAAUUUGGUCUAGUCCAAUCUUAUCCAGGUUUGGAAGUGGCCUUGAAAUUGUUAUAGAAAAUGGUAGUUACAGUU